AAUGGGCGAAAGCCUGACGGAGCAACGCCGCGUGAGUGAUGAAGGUCUUCGGAUCGUAAAACUCUGUUAUUAGGGAAGAACAUAUGUGUAAGUAACUGUGCACAUCUUGACGGUACCUAAUCAGAAAGCCACGGCUAACUACGUGCCAGCAGCCGCGGUAAUACGUAGGUGGCAAGCGUUAUCCGGAAUUAUUGGGCGUAAAGCGCGCGUAGGCGGUUUUUUAAGUCUGAUGUGAAAGCCCACGGCUCAACCGUGGAGGGUCAUUGGAAACUGGAAAACUUGAGUGCAGAAGAGGAAAGUGGAAUUCCAUGUGUAGCGGUGAAAUGCGCAGAGAUAUGGAGGAACACCAGUGGCGAAGGCGACUUUCUGGUCUGUAACUGACGCUGAUGUGCGAAAGCGUGGGGAUCAAACAGGAUUAGAUACCCUGGUAGUCCACGCCGUAAACGA
This 447-nucleotide ribosomal RNA is filed under the name Staphylococcus aureus. RNAcentral's name for it is "bacterial SSU rRNA". It matches the Rfam family "Bacterial small subunit ribosomal RNA", at positions 370 to 809 of the family's 1533-position model. The record is from RNAcentral. Lineage: Bacteria; Bacillati; Bacillota; Bacilli; Caryophanales; Staphylococcaceae.